UACGGAGGGUGCAAGCGUUAAUCGGAAUUACUGGGCGUAAAGCGUGCGUAGGCGGUGAGUGAAGUCUGCUGUGAAAUCCCUGGGCUCAACCUGGGAAUGGCGGUGGAUACUGGCUUGCUAGAGUACGGUAGAGGAAGGUGGAAUUCCCGGUGUAGCGGUGAAAUGCGUAGAGAUCGGGAGGAACAUCAGUGGCGAAGGCGACCUUCUGGACCAGUACUGACGCUGAGGCACGAAAGCGUGGGGGGAGCAAACAGGAUUAGAUACCCUGGUAGUCCACGCCCUAAACGAUGCGAACUGGAGGUUGGGUGCAACUUGGCACGCAGUCUCGAAGCUAACGCGUUAAGUUCGCCGCCUGGGGAGUACGGUCGCAAGACUGAAACU
RNAcentral lists this ribosomal RNA (381 nucleotides) under uncultured bacterium. RNAcentral describes it as "bacterial SSU rRNA". It matches the Rfam family "Bacterial small subunit ribosomal RNA", at positions 524 to 901 of the family's 1533-position model. The record is from RNAcentral.